UACACUCAGGGAUAGCCUUUCGAAAGAAAGAUUAAUACCUGAUGGUAUGAUGAGAUUGCAUGAUAGCAUCAUUAAAGAUUUAUCGGUGUACGAUGGGGAUGCGUUCCAUUAGGUAGUAGGCGGGGUAACGGCCCACCUAGCCGACGAUGGAUAGGGGUUCUGAGAGGAAGGUCCCCCACAUUGGAACUGAGACACGGUCCAAACUCCUACGGGAGGCAGCAGUGAGGAAUAUUGGUCAAUGGACGAGAGUCUGAACCAGCCAAGUAGCGUGAAGGAUGAAGGUCCUACGGAUUGUAAACUUCUUUUAUAAGGGAAUAAACCCUUCCACGUGUGGGAGCUUGUAUGUACCUUAUGAAUAAGCAUCGGCUAACUCCGUGCCAGCAGCCGCGGUAAUACGGAGGAUGCGAGCGUUAUCCGGAUUUAUUGGGUUUAAAGGGAGCGCAGACGGGUCGUUAAGUCAGCUGUGAAAGUUUGGGGCUCAACCUUAAAAUUGCAGUUGAUACUGGCGUCCUUGAGUGCGGUUGAGGUGUGCGGAAUUCGUGGUGUAGCGGUGAAAUGCUUAGAUAUCACGAAGAACUCCGAUUGCGAAGGCAGCACACUAAUCCGUAACUGACGUUCAUGCUCGAAAGUGUGGGUAUCAAACAGGAUUAGAUACCCUGGUAGUCCACACGGUAAACGAUG
This 681-nucleotide ribosomal RNA is filed under the name uncultured bacterium. RNAcentral describes it as "bacterial SSU rRNA". It matches the Rfam family "Bacterial small subunit ribosomal RNA", at positions 132 to 811 of the family's 1533-position model. The record is from RNAcentral.